Anguilla anguilla (European eel) is the source of this 1131-nucleotide non-coding RNA. The record is from the annotation of a RefSeq genome assembly. NCBI's taxonomy places the organism in Eukaryota, Metazoa, Chordata, Actinopteri, Anguilliformes, Anguillidae.
GUCACUGUGAGGACUUGAAAAAGCCAACUGCACUUUUGAAAAAAGCAUUUUUAUUAAUGAUACCAGUCAGAGGACUGCGUUGACUUGCUUUAUCACUUGUUAUUAGAUAACAUUCUGAGCAUAACACUGGUGCCUAUAAUCACAAUGUGCGUUGAGAUCUAUUUGUGACAUUGUUCCACAGAAUAGCCGAGAGAGGGAAUAGACUAGAGGAAGCUAUCAGGCUGUCCACACCACGUCCCUCCACCCUGGAUAACAUGGAGCUGCUUUAUGUAUUUGUGGCUUUGCUCUUCAGUACCAAGUCCUCCGAUGGAGUCACAGUAUUGCAGAAUCGGCCAGAGAUGUUCACGAUGACGGGGAAUGAGUCUGAGACCCUGCACUGUGAACACGACGAUGCUAACCACGACUAUAUGUACUGGUACAGGCAGGACAGUGGCAGAGGAAUGCGUUUGAUGGCGUAUUCUUUAGGCAAAGGCACCGUGAACAUAGAGCCGCCCUUCAACGCAUCCAAAUACGCGAUGGAGCGUCCUGAAGUAAAGAAGUCGUCUCUGCAGAUAAAGGAUUUGGCGGAGGGGGACUCGGCUGUGUAUUUCUGCGCCUCUAGUUAUGCACGCUAACCCAGAACAGCGACGCUACACGACAAUAACCCCUAUUAACCACAUACUGUACACCCUGCUGGAGGGAGGGGCCUCCUCCCGCUGUACAGCUGCUGAGCUCACUAACGGCACAGGCCUCCGUGCUGCACCCGUCCCUCCGCUGGCUCCACCCCAAAUUCAGCUCAGCUCAGUUCAAUUCAGGUCAAGUUUUGUCUGAAGGUAAAAGGUUUAACAGUGCUAAACAUGCUAGGAGAAUCUUCUUUUGUGGUGUCUCCUGACAAUGUAAAACUUUACGGACAAUAGACAAUUAAUAAAAUAAAUACAAUACAAACAAUCCAGAGAAAAAAUGAAAUAUAAGAAAUAUCCAAGUUAUACACACACAGCCUGUAAAUUCUGUAUAUGUGAUGAGUGUGAGAUUCCCAGUUCCGCUGACUGAAAUUUACUCACUCUGUUCAUCUUUGUAGCCUUUUGAUGAUCGUGAGGUGUCAAAUACAUUGUACAUGUCAGCUGUUUCAUUCAUAAAUAUGAGAGCUUCAAU